This 253-nucleotide ribosomal RNA is filed under the name uncultured bacterium. RNAcentral's name for it is "partial 16S ribosomal RNA". It matches the Rfam family "Bacterial small subunit ribosomal RNA", at positions 524 to 776 of the family's 1533-position model. The record is from RNAcentral.
GACAGAGGGUGCAAACGUUGCUCGGAAUCACUGGGCGUAAAGGGCGUGUAGGCGGGCAGAUAAGUCGGGCGGGAAAUCCCCAGGCUCAACCUGGGAACUGCACUCGAAACUGUUUGUCUUGAGUAUCGGAGAGGAAAGCGGAAUACCUGGUGUAGCGGUGAAAUGCGUAGAUAUCCGGAGGAACACCGGUGGCGAAGGCGGCUUCCUGGACCGAUACUGACGCUGAGGCGCGAAAGCUAGGGGAGCAAACGGG